This 1035-nucleotide ribosomal RNA is filed under the name uncultured Basidiomycota. Its description in RNAcentral is "eukaryotic LSU rRNA". The stretch from base 602 to 1035 matches the Rfam family "Eukaryotic large subunit ribosomal RNA", at positions 1 to 429 of the family's 3401-position model. The record is from RNAcentral. Lineage: Eukaryota; Fungi; Basidiomycota.
CUUGGUCAUUUAGAGGAAGUAAAAGUCGUAACAAGGUUUCCGUAGGUGAACCUGCGGAAGGAUCAUUAAUGAAUUCAACCUAGUCAACGGCAGCAAUGCCUUGGCAGGUUUCAUAUCCAUAACACCUGUGAACUGUAAGAUGUGGUGACUUUAGUCCCCGUCUGCCCUAUUUAAACACUAGUAGUAUCAAAAGUAGUAUUAUUAUAACCUAAUAAAACUUUCAACAACGGAUCUCUUGGCUCUCGCAUCGAUGAAGAACGCAGCGAAAUGCGAUAAGUAAUGUGAAUUGCAGAAUUCAGUGAAUCAUCGAAUCUUUGAACGCACCUUGCGCUCUAUGGUAUUCCGUAGAGCAUGCCUGUUUGAGUGUCAUGAAAACAAUCAAUACUUGGGACUUUGGGUAACUCCAAAGGGCAAGAUUGGGUUUGGAUGUUUGCCAUCUUCACAGUUGGCUCAUCUUAAAUGUAUUAGCUAGAUGUGUCUUGAGACAGGUUUGACUUGGCGUAAUAAGUGUUUCGCUAGGGACAUCCUUCGGGAUGGCCAAUCUCUUGUACCAAUUUGCUUUCUAACAUAUGCUACUCUUCGGAGACAUGACUUUUAUUAUUUGCCUCAAAUCAGGUAGGACUACCCGCUGAACUUAAGCAUAUCAAUAAGCGGAGGAAAAGAAACUAACAAGGAUUCCCCUAGUAACGGCGAGUGAAGCGGGAAGAGCUCAAAUUUGAAAUCUGGUGGCCUCAGGUCAUCCGAGUUGUAAUCUAUAGAAACAUUUUCGUGCCAGCUCAUGUACAAGUCCCUUGGAACAGGGCGUCAUAGAGGGUGAGAAUCCCGUCCUUGACAUGAAGUACUGGUGCUCUGUGAUAUGUUUUCAACGAGUCGAGUUGUUUGGGAAUGCAGCUCAAAAUGGGUGGUAAAUUCCAUCUAAAGCUAAAUAUUGGCGAGAGACCGAUAGCGAACAAGUACCGUGAGGGAAAGAUGAAAAGCACUUUGGAAAGAGAGUUAAACAGUAUGUGAAAUUGUUGAAAGGGAAACGCUUGAAGU